Molecule: long non-coding RNA, 1275 nt
Organism: Triticum dicoccoides
Lineage: Eukaryota; Viridiplantae; Streptophyta; Magnoliopsida; Poales; Poaceae
Exons: 6
Source: RefSeq, a predicted model, not a curated record
ACCCGUUACUGUGCGAGGCCUAGCCCGACUAGGAAGGUGGAGCGCAUGCGUGGUGUCUUAUCUUCUCCCUCACUCUCGGCUGGUUCAGUCACUCCCUGUCCCUUUUUCUUUGCUCUCUGUCUCCUGCUCUCCCCUCGCUGGCUAGGGUUUCUUUUGCUGGUGCUCGGAUUCAGUGACCCGCUGCUUGGAUCCGUGGGGAGAUCUGCUUUUUUCAGGCAUGGUCUGCCCUGUUUAUCGUUUCCCGGGUGCUCCGUGUGUGCCAGUUGCAUUUGCUGGCCAACACAUGUACAUCCCCUGCAAUCUGAGAAAUGUCUUAGCUGAGUAUAUUGAGGAGUAGAGAGACGAGGCUAGGACUCUGCAGUUCAAGAAGGCGGAGCCUGAACUUCUUAGGUUUGAAAGCAGGACUUACCCAGCCACAUUCAAGCACCGAGCAAACUACAGCAAGUUUGUUGGUAGUUCAUGGUUUGACUUCACCCAUGACUAUGGCCUGUGUGCUGGAGAUCUGUGUUUACGCCGGACCAUCUGACUUUUGAUGUGAAGAGCCAAACCUACCGUGGUGGUGAAAGAAUUCUCCCUCUGCCUUGUGUUGCUUUUGAAAACCUAUCCGAUGCCAAUUAUGAGUAUGCUAUUUAUGUUGUAUUGCCGCGCAAGUUGUUGUUCAACUACCAUAAGAACCGCUACUUACUCCAUUGUCUUUUGUUGGGCAAUUUCCUGCGGUGUGUGCCUUUCAUCCAUGUCAUGACUCCCACUAACACAAUCAAGAAUAUCAUGAAAAUUCCAAAAAUUGUUGUGUCAAGCUUGAAGAGAUUCAUGGAUGUCCCUCUAAGUGCAUCUGUCACUCUUGAAUAUCUGGAUGAAGGUGUGCACGUCAUCACGUCAUUUCAUACACUUUGUGCAGACAAGAUGGGAGGAUGAUGUUCGAGAAGACAAGUUUCAAUGAGUUCAUAUCAGCAGCUUCUUUGGGUGAAGACAAUGUUGUGCUCAUCACAUUCAAAGAACGCAAUGAUCGCUCAGUUUCUGUUGUGUUCCAGCGGCUCAUGCAGGUGGAGUGUUGCGCGUUUAGAGUCUGAACUUUAGAUCGUUGAAACCCGAACUUUUUUAUGUGUAAUUAUCUAUGACUCUAUGGUUAGUUGUCUAGAUGACUGUUUGAUGAUAGAAGUAGUGGUGCCUCUACGUAUCCAAGUUCAGACUUUAUACUUUUGGAUGCAAGGAUUACCGAACGGUAUAUCUUUUGAUGGUUAAUAUGUCAAGUUUUAAGGAACUGUAUGGUUGAAA